CGAUCUAUUGGAAACAAGUUCACUAAGUGAAAAAGCUAAAGCCGGGGAGCAUGAAGAAAAAGAGAUCUACCAAAAUCAGUUGAAACUUGAUUCAGAGACUAGAAGCCACAAAGCAAAUUAUGGAGAGCACAAAUAAUUCAGCUGAUGCACUCUCAGAGAGGUAUUUCUUAUUGUCUACACCUGAUUCAUAUACUCUAGAUUUUAAAUUGCUGGAAGAAGUGGAUUUUAAUUUUGGAGAUUCAGCAUUUUCCAGACCAGAGAACAAAGUUCAGAAAUUGCUGAC
Molecule: long non-coding RNA, 283 nt
Filed under: Eutrema salsugineum
Lineage: Eukaryota; Viridiplantae; Streptophyta; Magnoliopsida; Brassicales; Brassicaceae
Description: long non-coding RNA (ESAL_LNC001700)
Source: RNAcentral